CAUGAAGUCGGAAUCGCUAGUAAUCGUGAAUCAGAAUGUCACGGUGAAUACGUUCCCGGGCCUUGUACACACCGCCCGUCACACCAUGGGAGUGGGCUGCAAAAGAAGUGGGUAGUUUAACCUUUCGGGGAGGACGCUCACCACUUUGUGGUUCAUGACUGGGGUGAAGUCGUAACAAGGUAGCCCUAGGGGAACCUGGGGCUGGAUCACCUCCUUA
This 217-nucleotide ribosomal RNA is filed under the name Vibrio splendidus. Its description in RNAcentral is "partial 16S ribosomal RNA". It matches the Rfam family "Bacterial small subunit ribosomal RNA", at positions 1319 to 1533 of the family's 1533-position model. The record is from RNAcentral. Lineage: Bacteria; Pseudomonadati; Pseudomonadota; Gammaproteobacteria; Vibrionales; Vibrionaceae.